AGGACGAACGCUGGCGGCACGCCUAACACAUGCAAGUCGAACGGAGAUUUGAGAGCUUGCUCUUAAAUCUAGUGGCGGACGGGUGAGUAACACGUGAGCAACCUGCCUCUGAGAGAGGGAUAGCUUCUGGAAACGGAUGGUAAUACCUCAUAACAUAGCUGGACCGCAUGAUCCGGUUAUCAAAGAUUUAUCACUCAGAGAUGGGCUCGCGUCUGAUUAGCUAGUUGGUGAGGUAACGGCCCACCAAGGCGACGAUCAGUAGCCGGACUGAGAGGUUGAACGGCCACAUUGGGACUGAGACACGGCCCAGACUCCUACGGGAGGCAGCAGUGAGGGAUAUUGCACAAUGGAGGAAACUCUGAUGCAGCGAUGCCGCGUGGAGGAAGAAGGUUUUCGGAUUGUAAACUCCUGUUUCGAGGGACGAUAAUGACGGUACCUCGGGAGGAAGCUCCGGCUAACUACGUGCCAGCCGCCGC
Molecule: ribosomal RNA, 476 nt
Filed under: uncultured bacterium
Lineage: Bacteria
Description: bacterial SSU rRNA
Rfam family: Bacterial small subunit ribosomal RNA
Source: RNAcentral